GUGAAUCAUCAAAUCUUUGAACGCAAAUUGCACUCUCCGGUUUUCCGGGAGAGUAUGCCUGUUUGAGGGUCAGCCUAAAAAAAAUCGACAUUGUUGCUGUUUUAUGGUGACUUUCGUCGGAGAUGGGUUAUCUUAAAUCUCGGUUUAAGCGACUUAAAAAUUUUUUUUACGAUUCUAGGAAUGUUUUUAAAAUUUUUUUUUUCCGUUUAAGUUAUCGAUUUUUU
This 224-nucleotide unclassified non-coding RNA is filed under the name Glomeraceae sp. RNAcentral describes it as "partial contains 5.8S ribosomal RNA and internal transcribed spacer 2". The stretch from base 1 to 72 matches the Rfam family "5.8S ribosomal RNA", at positions 84 to 154 of the family's 154-position model. The record is from RNAcentral. Lineage: Eukaryota; Fungi; Glomeromycota; Glomeromycetes; Glomerales; Glomeraceae.